Molecule: ribosomal RNA, 644 nt
Filed under: uncultured bacterium
Lineage: Bacteria
Description: bacterial SSU rRNA
Rfam family: Bacterial small subunit ribosomal RNA
Source: RNAcentral
CGCGGCCUAUCAGCUUGUUGGUGAGGUAAUGGCUCACCAAGGCGACGACGGGUAGCCGGCCUGAGAGGGCGACCGGCCACACUGGGACUGAGACACGGCCCAGACUCCUACGGGAGGCAGCAGUGGGGAAUAUUACACAAUGGGCGAAAGCCUGAUGCAGCGGCGCCGCGUGAGGGAUGACGGCCUUCGGGUUGUAAACCUCUUUCAGCAGGGAAGAAGCGAAAGUGACGGUACCUGCAGAAGAAGCGCCGGCUAACUACGUGCCAGCAGCCGCGGUAAUACGUAGGGCGCAAGCGUUGUCCGGAAUUAUUGGGCGUAAAGAGCUCGUAGGCGGCUUGUCACGUCGGGUGUGAAAGCCCGGGGCUUAACCCCGGGUCUGCAUUCGAUACGGGCUAGCUAGAGUGUGGUAGGGGAGAUCGGAAUUCCUGGUGUAGCGGUGAAAUGCGCAGAUAUCAGGAGGAACACCGGUGGCGAAGGCGGAUCUCUGGGCCAUUACUGACGCUGAGGAGCGAAAGCGUGGGGAGCGAACAGGAUUAGAUACCCUGGUAGUCCACGCCGUAAACGGUGGGAACUAGGUGUUGGCGACAUUCCACGUCGUCGGUGCCGCAGCUAACGCAUUAAGUUCCCCGCCUGGGGAGUACGGA